Molecule: ribosomal RNA, 401 nt
Filed under: uncultured bacterium
Lineage: Bacteria
Description: bacterial SSU rRNA
Rfam family: Bacterial small subunit ribosomal RNA
Source: RNAcentral
UGAGGAAUAUUGGGCAAUGCCCGCAAGGGUGACCCAGCAACGCCGCGUGGAGGAUGAAUGUCGUAAGAUUGUAAACUCCUGUUAGAGGGGAAGAAUAGUACCGGUUGGACCGGUAUAUGACUGUACCCUCAGAGAAAGCCCCGGCUAACUACGUGCCAGCAGCCGCGGUAAUACGUAGGGGGCAAGCGUUGUCCGGAUUUACUGGGUGUAAAGGGCGCGCAGGCGGGAUAAAAAGUCAGAGGUGAAAUCCUACAGCUUAACUGUAGAACUUCAUUUGAUCCUUUUAUUCUUGAGUUCGGGAGAGAGAGACGGAAUUCCAGGUGGAGUGGUGAAAUACGUAGAUAUCUGGAAGAACACCAGUUGCGAAGGCGGUCUCUUGGUCCGACACUGACGCUGAGGCG